This 874-nucleotide ribosomal RNA is filed under the name Enterobacter bugandensis. Its description in RNAcentral is "bacterial SSU rRNA". It matches the Rfam family "Bacterial small subunit ribosomal RNA", at positions 29 to 873 of the family's 1533-position model. The record is from RNAcentral. Lineage: Bacteria; Pseudomonadati; Pseudomonadota; Gammaproteobacteria; Enterobacterales; Enterobacteriaceae.
CUAAAGGAGAGUAGCGGGGGCAGCCACAGGCAGGUCGAGGGGUCCAAGACAAAUUGCUCUCGGAUGACGAGUGGCGGACGGGUGAGUCAUGUCUGGGAAACUGCCUGAUGGAGGGGGAUAACUACUGGAAACGGUAGCUAAUACCGCAUAACGUCGCAAGACCAAAGAGGGGGACCUUCGGGCCUCUUGCCCUCAGAUGUGCCCAGAUGGGAUUAGCUAGUAGGUGGGGUAACGGCUCACCUAGGCGACGAUCCCUAGCUGGUCUGAGAGGAUGACCAGCCACACUGGAACUGAGACACGGUCCAGACUCCUACGGGAGGCAGCAGUGGGGAAUAUUGCACAAUGGGCGCAAGCCUGAUGCAGCCAUGCCGCGUGUAUGAAGAAGGCCUUCGGGUUGUAAAGUACUUUCAGCGGGAAGGAAGGCGAUGAGGUUAGUAACCUUGUCGAUUGACGUUACCCGCAGAGAAAGCACCGGCUAACUCCGUGCCAGCAGCGCGGUAAUACGGAGGGUGCAAGCGUUAAUCGAAUUACUGGGCGUAAAGCGCACGCAGGCGGGUCUGUCCAGGUCGGAUGUGAAAUCCCCCGGGCCUCAACCCUGGGGAACUGCAGUCCAAACUUGGCAUGCUAGGGUCCUUUGUAGAAGGGGGGGGAAAACUUCCGGGGGGUACGAUGAAAAUGCGUAAAAGAUCUGGAAGAAUACCGGGUGGCGAAAGCCGCCCCCUUGGACAACACUGGACGCUCACGUGCAAAAGCGUGGGGACCAAACAGGGAUUAAUACCCUGGGGAGUCCCCUCCGUAAAACAAUGUCAACUUUGUAAGGUUGUGCCCCCUGGAGGCGUUGCCUUCCCGGAAAUAAACGCCGUUUAGGGUCCGA